CUGAUGGCUUAGUUGUUCGACCACCAACAGGCAGUGUAUUUUAUAAAACUCCAGAAGCCAAAGACGCCAUUCCUGAUAUUGUAGAGGUGGAGUGUCCAUAUACAGCAUCAUCUUCAACAGUAGCAGAUGGGGCACAAAAUUUGAAGGAUUUUUUAUAGAUCUUAAACAAGAUACCCUGUGCCUGAAAACCAGUCACCCAUACUAUCAUCAAAUUCAAGGCCAGCUACACAUAUGUAACAAAACAUGCUGCGACUUAAUUGUGUGGACAAGAGUAGACUGCAUUGUGAUUAGAAUAGUAAAAGACAUGGAAUGGACAGCAAAUGUUUCAAAGCUGAUAGAUUUCUACUUUAACAUUUUCAUUCCAGCACUGAUGGAAAACUGAGUUCUGGUUUCAACUU
RNA transcript from Saccostrea cuccullata (small rock oyster), 398 nucleotides. RefSeq lists it as uncharacterized. The transcript has 2 exons. The record is from RefSeq and is a predicted model, not a curated record. Lineage: Eukaryota; Metazoa; Mollusca; Bivalvia; Ostreida; Ostreidae.